This 202-nucleotide long non-coding RNA is filed under the name Physcomitrium patens. RNAcentral describes it as "long non-coding RNA (PPAT_LNC010032)". The record is from RNAcentral. Lineage: Eukaryota; Viridiplantae; Streptophyta; Bryopsida; Funariales; Funariaceae.
AGUUUAGAGGUAAAAAUUUCUACCAUUGGAAGGUAAAAAUAGAGCUUUUGUUGGCAUCUUUGGAUCUUUGGGAUAUUGUAAAUGAAAGUGAAGAGGCUCCUAGCAUAGAUGCUGAUAUGAAGGAGAAGAAAGAGUUCAAAUUUCAUGAAAAGAAGGCUUUUAGAUUGAUUGCAACCAAUAUGGAUGAAGCCAACUUCUCCCA